AUACUUAUCUGGCAGGGGAGAUACUAUGAUCAUGAAUUUGGUGUUCCCAGGGACGAGGCUUAUCCAUUGCACUCUGGAUGUGCUGACCCCUGCAAUCUCCCCAAAUGUGGGAAACUUGACUGCAUAAUUUGUGGUAGUGGGGAACUGCAUUUGUGCUCUCCACU
RNAcentral lists this small nuclear RNA (164 nucleotides) under Castor canadensis (American beaver). Its description in RNAcentral is "U1 spliceosomal RNA (ENSCCNG00000005289.1)". It matches the Rfam family "U1 spliceosomal RNA". From Rfam's summary of the family: U1 is a small nuclear RNA (snRNA) component of the spliceosome (involved in pre-mRNA splicing). Its 5' end forms complementary base pairs with the 5' splice junction, thus defining the 5' donor site of an intron. The record is from Rfam by way of RNAcentral. Lineage: Eukaryota; Metazoa; Chordata; Mammalia; Rodentia; Castoridae.